Salarias fasciatus (jewelled blenny) is the source of this 97-nucleotide long non-coding RNA. RefSeq lists it as uncharacterized. The record is from RefSeq and is a predicted model, not a curated record. Lineage: Eukaryota; Metazoa; Chordata; Actinopteri; Blenniiformes; Blenniidae. The transcript has 3 exons.
UUUACCAAAAAAAAGAAAAAAAAAAACUACAUCCAAACUCAUACAGAGAUCCUCCAAUGCAGAACUCAGCAGGUAUAACAAACAAAUUGCAAAAAAU